ACAGUGUCUGACACAUGAUAAGCAGUCUCCAUAUUUUUUUUUUUUUUGGCCAGGCAGCAGGCCAUGUGGGAUCUUAGUUCCCCAACCAGGGAUCGAACAACUGGCCCUUGCAAUGGAAGUGAGGAGUCUUAACCACUGGACCACCAGGGAAGUCCCUGACACAUGAUAAAUGUGAAACAAAUGGACUUGUGUGCCUUUAGGAGCUUCUUCUAGGAGUGAGUGGCAGGUAUGCCUCCAGCAGCGCUGUCAUUGUGAGUGACCAUAUGAAUGAUCCGGGAGUUACUGGUGCCUGUGAGUUCUAGGCGCUGCAGAGGAGCUGGCCAUGCAGAAUCCACGCAAGACCCACCCCAGGGACUACAGGCUGCGGUUCUGAAGACUGAGCCAACAGGUUCUGUGUCCAGCUGUGACAAGUUUUGACUUCUCCCUUCUCUCCGAAGCCAGCCUGCAGGUUUUUUGCAGGCUAGUCGUGGAUAAGAACACCUACUUCUGGUGGUUCCUGUAAGGAUUUUGGCAAGGGAGGGC
This 522-nucleotide long non-coding RNA is filed under the name Bos indicus x Bos taurus (hybrid cattle). RNAcentral describes it as "lncRNA (ENSBIXG00000014666.1)". The record is from RNAcentral. Lineage: Eukaryota; Metazoa; Chordata; Mammalia; Artiodactyla; Bovidae.